This 116-nucleotide ribosomal RNA is filed under the name Anolis carolinensis (green anole). The record is from RNAcentral. Lineage: Eukaryota; Metazoa; Chordata; Lepidosauria; Squamata; Anolidae.
AUCUACUUUAAAAUGCUGAAUGCACCAGAUCCCUUCUGAUCUUGGAAUCUAAGCAAGGUCAGCUCAGGUUAGUACUUGGAUGAGAGACUGCCUGUGAAUGCCAGGUGCUGUAGGCU